UAAACAUCUUGCCUAAAAGUAGGAUCUUUGUUUUUAUUCAGAUGUUUUGAAAGUUUAGAAAAGUUUUUUAUCCUACUUGUAUUAUUUCUCAAAUAUAGUCAGCAGGAAAGUAUAACCUGUUUUAUAUGAAAUGUUUGAGGAAAUUUUAAAUUCUAGAAGAAAGUUAUUUAUGCAAAUAUGUUGGCCACGUAUAUUUUUUUCCUGUCCUGCACUGAAUUACAUCAAGUCUAUUAAAGCUUUUAAAAGUACCACUCUCCUUUGUGGGAAAAAAUCCCAUUACUGAUUUAUCUGCCCUCAAAAUCUAAAAGUUAAUUCUAAUUGAGUGCUAAAUUAGCAAUAGGUAGUCAACACAAAGAACUAAAAUCUAACCUCAGUGUGUCACUGUAUCUAUUUCUCAUAUUUGAUUUUCAUUUUUCUAAUUAGAGCAUUUACUUACUUUAACCAGUAACAAACUAUAUAUAUAAUAUUAUAUAUAUGAGAUCUAUAUAUAAUAUUAUGUAUAUGUGUGAUAUAUAUACACAUACAUAUGUACAUGUGGAUAUCUAUAAAGUUGUUCUGGUGCUUAAUUAAUGAGGAUCCAUCCUAUUACGUAUUUUGAAUGUUUAUCCUACUGGUGUGAUGACUAUUUUCAUAAAAGCAGAGUAGAAGCAACAGUUCUCCAAUAGUUUUCAUUUGGUAAUUGCAGGAAAACCUUCUUAAGUUGCCCUCAUUUAAUUUUUCUAAUUAAUACAUUCAUACUUUUAAAUUAUGUCCAUAAUUUUCUUAGCUGAAAAAGAGUGGUAUUUUAAAAUAGUUUUCUUAUCCAUGUGGCUCACUGCGUCUUCAACCUGACAGGGGAAAAGGUACCCAGGUGUCCUUCUCAGAUAGGUGUUCGAGAAGAGAUUUGUCCAAAAGCUCAAGAGCCACGUGAGCCAAGAUGGAGCCACAGCAAGGUGACCCCCACCAGGCAGCAGAAGCAGAGGCCCAGUGUCACGUGGUGGCAUUUUAUUUCACUCUCUUUGGGAACCGCGAGGUUUUCCCACAGACUCGACAGGCAGUGGAGUAGUGUGAUGUGCAAACCAGCGGCUCUGAGAUGAUGACAUGGCUGUAGUCAGAAAGCUUCCGUUCAAGACUGAAGUAGGAUGUUGUAAAUGAGCGAUGGCAUUUUCUUCAGUGCUCCUUGUGAUGGUUUCUCUGAGUCCGUGUGAUCUGAGGAUGCCAUUCUUCUGAAAGUAUUGAUUCUGGUACCCGGCCAACCCAGCUUUGGCAGCUAGAAGCACAGUAGGUACUGAUGGCUAUUUCCUGGAAAUCUUGACAGGCUUAUUGUACUGUGUAAUUGGGAAAGUUCAAGUGUAGUGUUGGUAUUAAUAAGUAACUGCUGUGAAAAAUAGGAACAUGUGUCUAAGAAUAUCAAAUAUGGCUUUUUUUGCAGUGAAUUCUAAAUUUCUUGUCCUUCUAGUAGUAGUUUUUUGCUCUGCGUUGCACCCUUUCUUAAAUACAUUAUUCUUGACAGCGGCAUUAGAUAAGUCGAACACACUUAGAAAGUGUUUGACUUAAAGAGAUUAGUCCAGAAACCAUGAUGAAUUAGAGUCUUCGUCCGGAAUUACCAAAGUAAAUUUAAAAAAUUGUGGUCGGGAAGAGAACAAAUAUUCAUAAGUGGGUUUUGUUUUUCCUACUGCUCAUUUUGAAGUCUGUCUUUACAUCCACUCUCUAAUAUUUACAAAGUAAUUCAUUGUUUUUCCAGGUUCUUAUUUUAUUUAAGAAAUAGUAGUUCAUAUUCCUCUUAAUGUCAGAUGAAACGAGAAAUACAAUUUUUGUUGUGAAGGCAGUUUUUUUAAAGCAUUCAAUUUGGUAAUCAUUUAUCUUAAUACAGUUAGAUUAGAUUUUUCUUUGCUCCCCAUUUAUAUACUAUGGAUUUUUUUUUAAAUGUCUUCUGCUUGGUUUUUAUCUCAGUCACCUUGCAUAAUGGAUUAUAAAGGCUGGUAAUUGUCAUUCCUCAGAUGCCUGUAUGUUAAAUUAACAACAGUAAAAUGUUUUCAUGUUGUUACCUUUCAAAUAGUUGUGUUGUAUUAACAUGCCUCAUGUUUUCAGGGGAAACAUGAAAAUAGGUAAACAGAUAGGAAUUUGCAUUUCAUUGUUCAUGCAUUUUUUCCCUCAUAAAAAUAGUUUCCAAAAAAAAGUGACGUGUUGUCUGUUAGGCGAUCCUGAUCAGUCUCAGGAUACUUAACUCGAAAAUACUCAAAAACACUCAAAAAUAAUUCAUGACGCUUAGCAGCAUUUUCACUCAUCCCCAAAGGUCUUUGUAAUGGUCAAAAUGUUCAAGUCACAAAAGAGAGAGAAAGUUGGUUUUCAAUAUUGGGAAUUUUUAAAGUUUAAGUCCAAAAAUAUCUCUUACUGGCUUCAACAUCUUAGAGUUUUUCGCCUCCCUGACUCUCGUCCUUUAAAGGAGUGAGUCUAAAGAAUGGGGACAUGAGGCCACUAUUUCUUCCAGCCCUGCUUUCGCUCCUCCUGCGCAGAUGCCCCUGUGUCGCUUUGCAGAGCACCACCGCAAGCCUCUCCCGCACCCAGCUCUGCUGUUUCUGCUUUCCGCAGCACGUCCCACCACGUCUUUCUCAAUCCCAUCACAAUCCUCAGCGGCACAGACGCCGCAGAGAACUGCUCCCCACCACGCGAGGUGAGCCGGCAGUGCUCCCCGCUCGCACUUGCCUGCGUCACGGGCCACGGAGAGAAGGCCACAGACCCACCUGGGGAAGCAGAUGCUGAGUGUUGUCUGUCACGAGCUCUGCUAAAACACUUUUGCCCAGAUCUUUCAUGAGAAUGGUUGGCACCAAAGGGCCGUGGCAAAGAACCUCUUGUUGAGGACCCAAACUCCCAAAUGCAGAAAAAUUAGCCCCAUGCUCUGAUGGGGUGAGCUCACUGUCCCCCACAAGGUACUGAGAAGGCCUUGCAUCUCCUCAAGUUCCAGCAAAGCUAAAUCCUUGGAAUGGCAGACCACUAGUUACCUGUAGAGUAGGAGGACACUGAUUGUUUUGAGGGGAAAAAACCCUUUCUUGUAAGAAUUCAUCAUUCAUAAGGUAAAUUGAAUGGAACCUUUUUCAGCCAUGCAGCUAUGAUAGCCUCUCCCCCCGGAAAAUGAUGCUUAUGAAUGAUGUCUGUGACAACUGGGUUGACCUACUGUCCCAGGUCUCAAGGAAACCAGAGAGUUCACGUAUCUAACCGUGGAGGUACCAGAUAUUGAGGAUAACUUGGCCAUUUACAGGCCAACUGUCUCAUAUUCGGAAUGAGAAACCAAGGGCCUUUUAGGUCCCCACACAGGGGAGUGGGGAUCGGUGGCUGCAGGUCUGCCUUUCUAAGCACCUGAGGACCCAGGAUGUGUUUCCUUUUGAUUUUUUAAACUUUCCUCUUAGUCAUCAUAGUUAAUUAUCUGAAUGGAUAUUCAGGGGUGUAAUUUUUUUUUUCCAAAUUAACAGAACAGAUAUCAGCUCGUUUUCUUUUAAACAUUAAAUGUAUAAAGUCCACCUCGUACACCAGUUAGACAUCCUUAAGGGGACAGUUAAGGCUAACAGGCCAGUCUCGGCCCCUGGAGAUGGCAGUUCGGAACCAUCUUCUUAUAAUGUCUGGUUUGGUUUUGUUUGUUUUUUAGCUCAGCAAGUUGGAAACCAUGAGUUUAAAACAAACUCUUUCCUUUUCCUUUUUAAAGCUUGAGAAGAAAUUUUUUUUAACUUUAGCUCCCCAUUCAGGCAGCAGAGGCUUCCCCGAGCGACAGCAGUGCCCUUCCCUGGCCGGAGACGAAAACUAAAAGCCUGUGAGCCUGUAAAGGAUUUUGAGCAUUCCUUUCAGUUUUUAUAUAUUUUUAAUGUAAAACCCAUAAAUGAACUUGACGUGAUAUUCAUGACCCAUUGCAGAAAUUCGCUUGCUCUUUUUGCAUUUAUGUGUUGAAUAAAGGCUUCUCUUGUUUGUCCCGGAGCCCCAGUAGAAGCUUAAUUCCUCUGGGCUGCUGCGUGAGCGCCCGCGGAUGUCCUGGAAAAUGGCAGCACCGUUAGCUGAGUUGGUCCCUUAGGGAGACGUGUGCUAAAGACGUGUGCGAAAAAUGUCAGGAAAGCUGAAUUUUAUGUUCAAGCCAACAAGCGUUUGAGAGGGUCUUGUAUGCCUCCGAUUUUGACAUUUUUUCUUUUUUCCUGAGUACCAACUCUGUGUUUGAUUCCUGGGGUGGCAGGGGUGGGGGGGUGGGGGGAGCAGGGAUUAGCAGUAAAAUUUGAACUAAGUGACAUGGGCCAGACUCCUUGCCCCCGACUGUCUCCAGAAAAUGUAUUUCCUGACUCGCUGUCUACCACUCUGAGUCUCUUAGGGAGCAAACAGUAAAUGUGUAUAAAUGAGACAGAGUAUCUCAAAGAUUUAAAUUCUUGUUUAGAUAUUUUCUCCUUUGUAAACUCAGGAACAAAUCCGGUUUGUGGAUAGCAUAAUAUGGCUAGUAAUGCUGUCAUCUGUAGGUGACUAGGUGCAUCCUUUCAAAUAUAUUUUGUUUAAAGACUAACUUUGUUUUAACCGAGAAAAGAAACUCCUCGAUAAAAAAAAAAAAAGCUAACAAAAGACUUCCAUAAUCUCUUUCUAGAAGAGUUGUGGCAUCAGUCUAACAUCCACCCCACAGCGUUUGUUUCUUGCCUAUCAGUAUUUCAACAAUUUUUAUGAGAGAAAAAAUUGCACAUUUUUUGUUUCUUGGAAAAGUGAAUUGAGCUGUUGAAUUAAAUUCUCAGAGGGGACAAUUUAGUCAAAGAAGCAUUGGUUUGGGAGAUGAGAGCUCACGGCUCUGUGGUCCCUGUUCCAGCACUGACUUUACUGUGUGACCCUGAGCAAAUGAUUUAACUUCUUUGUGCCUCAGUUUCUCCAUAGACAAAAUGGGGAUAAUGAUACCAACCAUUGCCUACCUCAUUGGGAUGUGAUGGGGACAAAUGAGAUAAGACAGAUCUUGAUCGUUCAUCCAGUAAUCGUACCUGAGGAAGUGAAAUGGAUAUGUUUUCUGUGUGUUUCUGCCCAUAGUAUUUCUAUUGUGGAUGUUCCCAAAAAGCUGGACUUUCAUUUGUAAUAUCUUAUAGUUUACAUGUAUGAACCUUAUUCAAGCUGUAUAUAAAAGUAUAAUCACGUGUAAAUAGCAGGUACAUUGUAAUUAAAGGCACUUAUCAAAUUGUC
This 5166-nucleotide long non-coding RNA is filed under the name Equus caballus (horse). Its description in RNAcentral is "lncRNA (ENSECAG00000048661.1)". Lineage: Eukaryota; Metazoa; Chordata; Mammalia; Perissodactyla; Equidae. The record is from RNAcentral.